Balaenoptera ricei (Rice's whale) is the source of this 1368-nucleotide long non-coding RNA. RefSeq lists it as uncharacterized. The transcript is spliced from 5 exons. The record is from RefSeq and is a predicted model, not a curated record. NCBI's taxonomy places the organism in Eukaryota, Metazoa, Chordata, Mammalia, Artiodactyla, Balaenopteridae.
GAGCGGGUGAGACCCCGUGGGCCUCAAACCCUGAUCUGCUUCUAGUCGGCGAAUAACUGGAAUUAACGGAGCAGGUAUAGUGUGCACGUGAGAUACUCAGGACCUUUCCACCCGCCCCACCCGACGGCGGGGACAGUCACACAGUCACGUGCCGGGUGGGUCCCAGGGGGUCGCACUUCGCUGGAGCUGGUCCCGAGCCGCUGGCAGUGAAGUGAUGGGGAAAGCGCGGGACCGGAAGGAGGGACGCGGGGCUCCAGGACUUCAGCACUUUCAGGCUAAUACUGGAUGCACACGAAAUCACAUGUUGGGCAAAUAUGUGGGUGGAUCAAUCAGUAUCAGAUGAUAUCUGGGCUUAAGGAAAAUAACUUUCAAGUCAUACUUGCUUAAAAGAGAUCUACUUAGUCAAAAGGCUACAUUGCUUAAACAGUGAGAAAAAUCCAUGAAUAGAUAGAUUUCAUAAUGACAAAAAAAAAAAAGAAGAAGAAAAGAAGGAAUCAUGAGUCACCCGCGGAGGAUGCCAGGGAACUGUGAAAUCAUAAGAAAUAUGUCUUUGGUGUCUACACUGGCUUCCUGGCACAGAGCUCCUCAAACACUUGGAAUUUCUUGAGUGAUCGGGAAUGAACGAGAGUUUAGAAGACCAAAUAUUUCAAACCAACCAGUGAAGCCCUUUGGUGCAGUUUUGACCCCAAAGCAGCCAGACUGUCUCCUGGUCUCCCAGGGCCAUACGCCACGGGGUCACUUUACAAAUUAAGGUGAAGUCCAAGUGGAGGUGGAAAGGCAAGGUGUGAGGUCCUUCGACGGCAUCCCUGGCGCAGCGGUGAGGCUGCAUAAGGAUCACGGGAGUGGAGACACACAGAACGGAGCCAGUAUUCAGUUCAGGAAUCACAGGAUUUAGUGCACAUGAUGAGCACACAGCACAGCUUAGUAAGAGGAGGGAAAACAGAGAAGGGGUACCGACCUCGCCAAGGAGAAGUCCGGAAGGAGGCGGCUCAGCACCAGCAGGGUCCCUGGUUGGUGAUGGUUUCAGGACACCUGUGAGCGGGACUCGCCCUCGGCUGGGACAGGGCCUCGGGCAGCGCCUGGAUGUUCAGCAGUGUCAGGUCGGGUCCUCCAGCCGAGAGCCUUUGGUGUCUGACUCUGGGGGGUCUGCCUAGAGGUGGGCAGGUGCCGCCCCAGGGCCUCUCGUCUCCAGCAGUUACUCUGUGCCAGCAAAGGUUUCCAUGACGUUACAAGGCAAGUCCUUAAAUUCAUUCUGUAAGUCUGUUCCUGUGUUGUAAAUAAGUUCAUUUGUAGCAUUUUUCUUUUUAGAUUCCGCAUAUCGAUAUCAUAUAUUUGUCUUACACAACACUGUUAAUCACCUAUGCUUCA